Molecule: transfer RNA, 66 nt
Filed under: Jonas distinctus
Lineage: Eukaryota; Metazoa; Arthropoda; Malacostraca; Decapoda; Corystidae
Description: tRNA-Glu
Source: RNAcentral
AUUUUUAUGGUGUAAAUAAACACAUUACAUUUUCACUGUAAAGCUGAAAAACUUUUUCUAAAAAUU